Molecule: long non-coding RNA, 688 nt
Filed under: Olea europaea subsp. europaea
Lineage: Eukaryota; Viridiplantae; Streptophyta; Magnoliopsida; Lamiales; Oleaceae
Source: RNAcentral
GAAGAGUCGACGAGAAAUCUUUAAUAUAAAAUCGUAAAUGAAAUGCUGUAAUAAAUAAAAAAGUCAUCAAGAUUAUCAUAACGAAAAAGGAAAUACAAUCUAAAUCAAAACAACACCGAGCAUUGAAUACUCAAAAAGUAAGAAAAGAACACAACAGGAGGAAAAAAGACGGAUGCAAUCACAUUAAAGAAACAUUAAUUAGCAAUGGAAAGACGGGUCAAUCUUGCAUUCGACAGGGAGUUUCGUGGCGAGGUCAGGGUUAAUUCCGAGAAAUUUGAUCCACCCGGAGCUCUUGAAUGUGCAAAGACAUGGCAAGUUUGCCUUGGGAUUGGAAAGAGCCGCACAGCAAGCGGUCGAAGGUGGCUGACCAGUUGUUCCGACCACGGCCGACUUGCAUGUCAUUAAAUCAGUAGGGCUUAUGCCACAAAUGGGUUCUUCACCCCUUGCCAUUGAGGGCUGGCUCCCAAUGGUUACAAGUAGAACCAUCGCAAAAAUUGCAAGCUUAGAGUAUGAUAAUUCCAUCUUGGACUAGUAGUGGUACAAUCUUUUUCUACUUGUUGGGAACUAUCUCCUUUUGUGCUUAUAAUUUUUCAUCUAUCAGUCUUUAUAUAGAAGUUGUAGCACAUGGUCUAGGUUAUAAGAGUUAAAUGGACUAUUAAUUUAUUAGCAUGUGAAUGAUGCUCUUCUC